GACGAACGCUGACGGUGUGCUUUAGACAUGCAAGUCGAACGCGAAAGCCCUUCGGGGUUAGUAGAGUGGCGAACGGGUGAGUAACACGUGGGCAAUCUGCCCCUCGCAGGGGGACAACCGGAGGAAACUCCGGCUAAUACCCCGUACGCUUGCGGAACCGCAUGGUACCGCAAGGAAAGGUAGCUUCGGCCAUCCGGCGAGGGAUGAGCCCGCGGUGCAUUAGCUAGUUGGUGGGGUAACGCCCACCAAGGCGACGAUGCAUAGCUGGUCUGAGAGGAUGAUCAGCCACACUGGGACUGAGACACGGCCCAGACUCCUACGGGAGGCAGCAGUCGGGAAUCUUGCGCAAUGGGCGAAAGCCUGACGCAGCAACACCGUGU
This 380-nucleotide ribosomal RNA is filed under the name uncultured bacterium. RNAcentral's name for it is "bacterial SSU rRNA". It matches the Rfam family "Bacterial small subunit ribosomal RNA", at positions 28 to 402 of the family's 1533-position model. The record is from RNAcentral.